This 253-nucleotide ribosomal RNA is filed under the name uncultured bacterium. Its description in RNAcentral is "partial 16S ribosomal RNA". It matches the Rfam family "Bacterial small subunit ribosomal RNA", at positions 524 to 776 of the family's 1533-position model. The record is from RNAcentral.
GACAGAGGCCUCAAGCGUUAGGCGGAAUCACUGGGCUUAAAGCGUGUGUAGGCGGGUCGUUAAGUACCUUGUGAAAUCCCACGGCUCACCCGUGGAACUGCUGGGUAUACUGGCGAUCUUGGGCCAUUCAGGGGCAACUGGAACAAGCGGUGGAGCGGUGAAAUGCGUAGAUAUCGGAAGGAACACCAGUGGCGAAAGCGGCUUCCUGGUCCGACACCGACGUUCAGGCACGAAAGCGUGGGGAGCAAACAGG